RNAcentral lists this unclassified non-coding RNA (2341 nucleotides) under Acyrthosiphon pisum (pea aphid). RNAcentral describes it as "limulus clotting factor C-like, transcript variant X6". Lineage: Eukaryota; Metazoa; Arthropoda; Insecta; Hemiptera; Aphididae. The record is from RNAcentral.
UAUUUAUAAAGAAAAUGGAGAAAAAAUGAACUAUUCUCUCUAUGAUUUACUACUUAAUGUUCUUUCUUUCCUUGAUCUCUCUGUUUUCUUUCUCAGUUAUAUGAUCCCCUAGCAUUAUUGGCGGGUGGAGUGGAAUCACUGUCCAUUAGUUUAUAGAUCUAUGGCCACAACGAACUAUUGUAGUGUCUUAUAUGCAUUGCUAUCAGCUAUUUUAAAAUGCUACUUCUUUUCAUAUAUGUUUAAAAUUAAAUAAUGUUAGACCUUUUUACACAUUUGAAUAAAUUUAUAGAAACACUGACGAUACGUUUUAUUGUUCAAAUGGACUGUGUAUCGAAUGGUCGUGGGUUUGUGAUGGUCGUAAGGAUUGUUCAGAUGGUUCAGACGAGACUAAAGAGUUGUGUGCUCUAUACGAAUAUGGAACCACGGAUUGCGGUAGAGUUGAAUCGUUCGACAUUAGUGGAAAAGAACUUUUUGGAGUGGCACGUUGGAAUGUUGGAAUAUAUCGAUUUGAAAAUUUAAAUUAUAUAUUUUUAUGUCAUGGAUCAAUUAUUGCUCCAAAUGGGCUGAAUUUUUUUUUUCUCCCGAUAUGGUUACUACGAAAAUAUCAGUAACAUAUGGAAAACUCAAAGUUGCUGUGGGAAAAUAUCAUUAUAAUUUUUCAAAAAUUGACAAUGAAUAUACUCAAAUAUUGAAUGUGGAAACAAUAUACAUAAAGGAAAGUUAUAAUGGAAAAGAAGGGUCAUAUGCUGAAGAUAUAGCUGUUAUUGUGUUAGAAAAUAAAGUUUUGAUUACCAGUGAUGUUUCACCUGUAUGUAUCGAUUGGAAUGGUAAAUAUAUGGUACACAAUGGAGAUCUAGGAAAGAUUUUCAUUUUUGGAGAAGUGGUAAAUGGGAUAGAAAAUUCUGUUUUAUCAGAAAGAUUUCUUCAACUCAUCGAUACCAGAAAUUGUCAAAAAAAUGUUUCAACCGAAAAUAAACACUUACUGACUUUUGAUAAGUUUUGUACGACUUAUAAUUCAAGAAAAGGAGCAGAUUUCGCAGAUAGUGGAGCAGGCAUAAGCUUUUUACACUCUAAUUCUUAUUUUUUAACCGGGAUGCUGAAUAUGAGGAUUGCAUAUCCAAACAGUGCAAUCGCAGGUUUUUUAGACAUCAGAUUCUAUGUUCAAUGGAUUCGUGGAAUUUUAAACAAACAUUUCACAGAGAAUUCAUGCGUUUUACCAACUGUCGAAGGAGUUAUAUAUUCUUAUGAAGGUUCUAAUGAGAUUUUAUCUCAUGGGACAUUAAUUAAACGUCAUCGUACUGUUAUUGAAAAGUGUGAACAUGGAUAUCAUAAGGCUUAUCCCGUAGGUUUUAGAUUUUGUCGAGGAAAAGGAAAAUGGUUAUCGAAUACUGAGAAAUUGUGUUUCAAAAUGUGUCCAUCUCUAAUAUCAGAUAGUUUAGAUAUUAAAUGUAGUCAUAAUGGUAAGUAUGCUAAUUGUUCAAAUUUAUCGAUACCUGAUACAAUAGCAAAAACAUCAUGUAAGCCAUUCUAUACUGCACCAAUUUCACAAGAAGAUACUCCGCUUGAAUUAAAUUGUCAGGCUAAUGGGAUGUGGAACAAGCAACUGUAUAGAUGCAAUCCAAAUUGCGGUAGAGUAUAUAUCAUAAACCAAGUGUUGAUCAAGAAUGGUAAAAAAGCACUUGUUGGUACGGCACCUUGGAAUGUUGGAAUAUAUCAAUUAAAUAAAAAAAAAACCAAUUAUGACUUGAUAUGUGGAGGAUCAAUUAUUGCACCAAAUUUGGUCAUUUCUGCGGCUCAUUGUUUUUGGAAAAAAGCUAUGUUAUCUAAGAAAAUAUCAAUAACGGGUGGUCUAUACAAAGUUGCUGUUGGAAAAUAUGAUAGAAAUUUUACAAUAAUAGACAAUGAAUUUACUCAAAUAAUAAAUGUGGAAACGAUUCACCUGAAAGAAGUUUAUUAUGGAGCUAAUGGGUUUUAUGCUGAAGAUAUAUCUAUUAUUGUGUUACAAGAUCGAGUUUCUUUUAGUAAUGGUGUUUCACCUGUUUGUAUCGAUUGGAAUGAUUGUUGGUUGGGGAAGAACAGAAAAAGAAAUUUCAAGUCCUAUUUUAUUAGAAGCAUCUUUACCAUACAUCGACCUUAGUACUUGCCGGAAUAUGUAUACAAAUGGAUUUGAAUUAUUUAUGACUGUUGAUAAGUUUUGUGCCGGUUCUACAUUGGUUUCAGGACAAGGAGUGAGUAAGGGAGAUAGCGGUGCAGGAUUAUGCUUUCUCCACUCUGAUUCUUAUUAUUUAACUGGAGUAGUAAGUAUCAAGGAUCCAAAUACAACUAAUUCGAUCGCAGUUUU